Molecule: ribosomal RNA, 163 nt
Filed under: Genista cf. spachiana AK-2011
Lineage: Eukaryota; Viridiplantae; Streptophyta; Magnoliopsida; Fabales; Fabaceae
Description: 5.8S ribosomal RNA
Rfam family: 5.8S ribosomal RNA
About the family: 5.8S ribosomal RNA (5.8S rRNA) is a component of the large subunit of the eukaryotic ribosome. It is transcribed by RNA polymerase I as part of the 45S precursor that also contains 18S and 28S rRNA.
Source: RNAcentral
AAGACUCUCGGCAACGGAUAUCUCGGCUCUUGCAUCGAUGAAGAACGUAGCGAAAUGCGAUACUUGGUGUGAAUUGCAGAAUCCCGUGAACCAUCGAGUCUUUGAACGCAAGUUGUGCCCGAAGCCAUUAGGCCGAGGGCACGCCUGCCUGGGUGUUGCACAU